This 484-nucleotide ribosomal RNA is filed under the name uncultured bacterium. RNAcentral's name for it is "partial 16S ribosomal RNA". It matches the Rfam family "Bacterial small subunit ribosomal RNA", at positions 30 to 507 of the family's 1533-position model. The record is from RNAcentral.
AUUGAACGCUGGCGGCAGGCCUAACACAUGCAAGUCGAGCGGAUGAAGGGAGCUUGCUCCUGGAUUCAGCGGCGGACGGGUGAGUAAUGCCUAGGAAUCUGCCUGGUAGUGGGGGAUAACGUCCGGAAACGGGCGCUAAUACCGCAUACGUCCUGAGUGAGAAAGUGGGGGAUCUUCGGACCUCACGCUAUCAGAUGAGCCUAGGUCGGAUUAGCUAGUUGGUGGGGUAAAGGCCUACCAAGGCGACGAUCCGUAACUGGUCUGAGAGGAUGAUCAGUCACACUGGAACUGAGACACGGUCCAGACUCCUACGGGAGGCAGCAGUGGGGAAUAUUGGACAAUGGGCGAAAGCCUGAUCCAGCCAUGCCGCGUGUGUGAAGAAGGUCUUCGGAUUGUAAAGCACUUUAAGUUGGGAGGAAGGGCAGUAAGUUAAUACCUUGCUGUUUUGACGGUACCAACAGAAUAAGCACCGGCUAACUUCGUG